AACUUCUCAAACCACAUCAGAUUGAUGUUGGCUUUGGAUGUGGGGGUUGUUUUUGCAGGCUUUCUUGUAGAAGGUCGGCUCCCCUGAAAUGAAUUAGUGGUAUCUGAGGCUACUACUGUGGGUGUGAUAACUAUCUAUGCCUUUGGUAUGCCACAUGAACAGAUUACAUCGCUUCUAACAAAACAAAUGUUGAUAA
RNAcentral lists this unclassified non-coding RNA (196 nucleotides) under Inocybe semifulva. RNAcentral's name for it is "partial internal transcribed spacer 2". The record is from RNAcentral. Lineage: Eukaryota; Fungi; Basidiomycota; Agaricomycetes; Agaricales; Inocybaceae.